UACAGAGGUCCCAAGCGUUACUGAGAAUCACUGGGUUUAAAGGGUGCGUAGGUGGUCCGUUAAGUCAGUUGUGAAAUCCCCGGGCUCAACCCGGGAACUGCUUCUGAUACUGGCGGACUUGAGGCCAGUAGGGGUCACUAGAACUGACGGUGGAGCGGUGAAAUGCGUAGAUAUCGUAAGGAAGACCAGUGGCGAAGGCGAGUCUCUGGACAGUUACUGACGCUGAGGCACGAAGGCCAGGGGAGCAAACGGG
This 253-nucleotide ribosomal RNA is filed under the name uncultured bacterium. RNAcentral describes it as "partial 16S ribosomal RNA". It matches the Rfam family "Bacterial small subunit ribosomal RNA", at positions 524 to 776 of the family's 1533-position model. The record is from RNAcentral.